AGACACGGCCCAGACUCCUACGGGAGGCAGCAGUAGGGAAUCUUCCGCAAUGGACGAAAGUCUGACGGAGCAACGCCGCGUGAGUGAUGAAGGUUUUCGGAUCGUAAAACUCUGUUGUUAGGGAAGAACAAGUGCGAGAGUAACUGCUCGCACCUGACG
This 159-nucleotide ribosomal RNA is filed under the name uncultured Bacillus sp. RNAcentral's name for it is "partial 16S ribosomal RNA". It matches the Rfam family "Bacterial small subunit ribosomal RNA", at positions 322 to 484 of the family's 1533-position model. The record is from RNAcentral. Lineage: Bacteria; Bacillati; Bacillota; Bacilli; Caryophanales; Bacillaceae.